Molecule: non-coding RNA, 180 nt
Organism: Oryza glaberrima (African rice)
Lineage: Eukaryota; Viridiplantae; Streptophyta; Magnoliopsida; Poales; Poaceae
Source: Rfam
AAUAAGCGCGACCAUAAGUUUCCGUAUCCAUUUUUUAUAAUUAGUAUUUUUAUUGUUAUUAUAUUAUAAAACAUGAAUAGUAUUUUAUGUGUGACUUAUAUUUUUUUAGUUUUUUGAAAAAUGAAUUUAAAUAAGACGGACGAUUACAGUUGGAUACAGAAACUUAUGGCUGCACUUAUU